RNAcentral lists this unclassified non-coding RNA (371 nucleotides) under uncultured fungus. RNAcentral describes it as "sequence contains ITS1". The stretch from base 1 to 94 matches the Rfam family "5.8S ribosomal RNA", at positions 50 to 154 of the family's 154-position model. Lineage: Eukaryota; Fungi. The record is from RNAcentral.
GAAAUGCGAUACGUAAUGUGAAUUGCUUUCCGUGAAUCAUCAAAUCUUUGAACGCACAUUGCACUCCUUCGGGAGUAUGCCUGAUUGAGAAUCUAUAGUAUUCUUCCAGCCCUGUUCUCUCGAGAGCGCGGGUGGAGAUGUGAGGCUUCCCUGCAGAGGGUGCCUUGAAAGAGAUUGCCGGCUGGUAGCCAGGACGACGAAGUGCCGAUACCAGAGAAACGUAUGUGAAUGGAACUGUGGUUUCUCAUAAUGCUGAUUAUCUGGUGGGUAUGGAGUGCUUGCUGCCGGUGGGUCCAAAACCAUAAAGACGAGCCUCCGGGCGACUCUUGAACCAUGGUCUCAAAUUAGGUAGGAAGACCCGCUGAACUUAA